RNAcentral lists this non-coding RNA (31 nucleotides) under Rattus norvegicus (Norway rat). The record is from RNAcentral. Lineage: Eukaryota; Metazoa; Chordata; Mammalia; Rodentia; Muridae.
UGAUUUAUUCACUUCCUAAAGUGUUUUUUGC